This 616-nucleotide long non-coding RNA is filed under the name Rattus norvegicus (Norway rat). RNAcentral describes it as "long non-coding RNA NONRATT024952". Lineage: Eukaryota; Metazoa; Chordata; Mammalia; Rodentia; Muridae. The record is from RNAcentral.
CAUGGAGUUAUUUUUGCCUUAAAAACAUAUUUUUCAUUUUCAAGGGUGCUGGAGAAAUGGUGAAUGAAGCCGCCCUGGCAUUGGAAUAUGGAGCGUCCUGUGAAGACGUAGCUAGAGUCUGCCAUGCACAUCCGACCUUAUCAGAGGCUUUUAGAGAAGCAAACUUGGCUGCGUCUUUUGGCAAACCAAUCAACUUUUAAUUAGAAGAUUGUUUUUCUUAAAACCUGGAAGAUUUUGUCAACAUUACAACAUUUUGAACAGGAUAAUCUCCCAGUUCUAAGAAUUUGUAGGAUGAAAUUAUGAAACUUCUGGAAGAUAUUUAGUAGGUUUGAACAGAAUGGAAUAACCGUGUAUACCUGUAUUUCAAGUAUUUUGUUCCAGUGCAUUAAUGCAAACAGAAAGCUACAUAUAGCAGCGUUCUGGAAAGUUUUUGACCCGUUUUCAUACGGUCUACGAGAUUCGACAUUACUGAAUUAGUAAUCACAGAUUUUACCUCUCAUUUAGUGGAGGUCAAUCUGUUGACAAGGAAGGAGCUGGAGAAUACAUGUGAACAACUUGAAGAAAACUGGCCAAGUUACUUUAAAUUUGGUUUUCAUAUUGGAAACGAGUCAGUGAC